Molecule: ribosomal RNA, 245 nt
Filed under: uncultured bacterium
Lineage: Bacteria
Description: partial 16S ribosomal RNA
Rfam family: Bacterial small subunit ribosomal RNA
Source: RNAcentral
CCAAGGCAACGAUGCAUAGCCGACCUGAGAGGGUGAACGGCCACACUGGGACUGAGACACGGCCCAGACUCCUACGGGAGGCAGCAGUAGGGAAUCUUCCGCAAUGGACGAAAGUCUGACGGAGCAACGCCGCGUGAACGAUGAAGGUUUUCGGAUCGUAAAGUUCUGUUGUUAGGGAAGAACAAACUUCGUUUGAAUAAGGCGGAGUCAUGACGGUACCUGACUAAGAAGCACCGGCUAAAUAC